AUUGAACGCUGGCGGCAUGCCUUACACAUGCAAGUCGAACGGCAGCACGGGUGCUUGCACCUGGUGGCGAGUGGCGAACGCGUGAGUAAUACAUCGGAACAUGUCCUGUAGUGGGGGAUAGCCCGGCGAAAGCCGGAUUAAUACCGCAUACGAUCUACGGAUGAAAGCGGGGGACCUUCGGGCCUCGCGCUAUAGGGUUGGCCGAUGGCUGAUUAGCUAGUUGGUGGGGUAAAGGCCUACCAAGGCGACGAUCAGUAGCUGGUCUGAGAGGACGACCAGCCACACUGGGACUGAGACACGGCCCAGACUCCUACGGGAGGCAGCAGUGGGGAAUUUUGGACAAUGGGCGAAAGCCUGAUCCAGCAAUGCCGCGUGUGUGAAGAAGGCCUUCGGGUUGUAAAGCACUUUUGUCCGGAAAGAAAUCCUUGGCCCUAAUACGGUCGGGGGAUGACGGUACCGGAAGAAUAAGCACCGGCUAACUACGUG
RNAcentral lists this ribosomal RNA (486 nucleotides) under uncultured bacterium. Its description in RNAcentral is "partial 16S ribosomal RNA". It matches the Rfam family "Bacterial small subunit ribosomal RNA", at positions 30 to 507 of the family's 1533-position model. The record is from RNAcentral.